Molecule: long non-coding RNA, 857 nt
Organism: Carassius carassius (crucian carp)
Lineage: Eukaryota; Metazoa; Chordata; Actinopteri; Cypriniformes; Cyprinidae
Exons: 3
Source: RefSeq, a predicted model, not a curated record
UUGUAUGUCUGAAUUCACAGUAUUUGAAAAACAGUAGGUGAAAGAACCCAGGUAUAGUGAAACCUUUUUAAAGAUUUGAAUCAAUUGAAUCACUUCACAAAAUGAUUCACAGUUUCAAAGCGCUCAAAACUCCUCACGCUAGUUGACGCCUGCUGGUCAAAACUGUGUAAAUGCAACAAAAACUCAGGCCAAACGUAUAAAACCAUUGGUGAACCAUUGACAUUUUUAAACAUUUCUAAACAAUUAUGGCAUUACAAAGCUUUGUUUAUUAAAAUCAUGUGACUUUGACAGUUUUAUAUGUCCUCCGAACCACUAGUUCAAAACAAUUUGCUAUGGAACAAACUUUUUUAAAGGUUGCAAAGUAAGUUUCAAAUCAAAUCAGUUGGCAGCCAUUUUUCUUUGCAGCGCCUGGGGAGCAGUUGGGGGUUCGGAGCCUUUCCUUUUCAAUGAAAUCUACAAAUAGAUGUUAACACAUUUUAGAUAAAUCAUUAACCUUGAUCAAAUGACCCAUGCCAUCUUAAAAGACACUGAAGGAAAUGUUUUGAGGACGUUCAUCUUUACAAAGAUGCCAACUUCCUUUUUUAAAUAUGUUUUUCUUGAUAAAAUUCCAUUCUAUUCAAAAUUGUAUUAAACAGAAGGAAAAAAAAUGUUUGCAAUUUAAAUUGCAUUAAACACAACAUUUAAUUAAAAUAAAUCUUUGUUUGUGGCAACAGUUUUUCAUUAAAUGAUGAAAUGUAUUUGCAUAGUUUACUGAUACGCUUGUACCUUUUGUGAAUCGGGUGUUGAAACAAUACUAACAACAUAUGCUGAUUAACCAUGCUAUCAGUUAGCACAAUGUAUUCUGUUUUUUACAUUAA